UUACGGAGUUCCCAGCAUCCACUACGGACUACGAGAAAUAGAAUUACCGGUGAGUAAAUUCUUAUUUUUUUUUUUAUCCAUAGGAGUCUUUAAACUGAAUGCGUACAGUGGAGCCAUAUGGUGGGCUGGGCAAAGAUCCAUGGGAAUGCAGCUUAUUAAGAACCAGAUACAGAAGGGUGGCCGGAAUCCUCCAAUGUUCUCCAUUUAGGUGUGGUCCCUGAGUUUUUGACCUAAUGGAUGUUAACCAAUUGCUGUUAACCUAUUGGCUGUCAGCUUAAAUACUGUAUAUCUUCUAUAUGACAACCAUACAUGUACGUCUUAUAAAUGUUAAUAAUAAAAAUAUAUUACAAGUCACAUGUCCGUGCAGAAAUAAACACACUGGCCAUUUA
Molecule: long non-coding RNA, 389 nt
Organism: Pseudophryne corroboree (corroboree frog)
Lineage: Eukaryota; Metazoa; Chordata; Amphibia; Anura; Myobatrachidae
Exons: 2
Source: RefSeq, a predicted model, not a curated record